CGGGACGGGGUGAGUAAUGUCUGGGAAACUGCCUGAUGGAGGGGGAUAACUACUGGAAACGGUAGCUAAUACCGCAUAACGUCGCAAGACCAAAGAGGGGGACCUUCGGGCCUCUUGCCAUCGGAUGUGCCCAGAUGGGAUUAGCUAGUAGGUGGGGUAACGGCUCACCUAGACGACGAUCCCUAGCUGGUCUGAGAGGAUGACCAGCCACACUGGAACUGAGACACGGUCCAG
This 234-nucleotide ribosomal RNA is filed under the name uncultured bacterium. RNAcentral's name for it is "partial 16S ribosomal RNA". It matches the Rfam family "Bacterial small subunit ribosomal RNA", at positions 104 to 334 of the family's 1533-position model. The record is from RNAcentral.